RNAcentral lists this ribosomal RNA (451 nucleotides) under LMWdDNA-degrading marine bacterium 9. RNAcentral describes it as "bacterial SSU rRNA". It matches the Rfam family "Bacterial small subunit ribosomal RNA", at positions 12 to 465 of the family's 1533-position model. The record is from RNAcentral.
UUUGAUCCUGGCUCAGAUUGAACGCUGGCGGCAGGCCUAACACAUGCAAGUCGAACGGUAACAGGAAGUGCUUGCACUUCGCUGACGAGUGGCGGACGGGUGAGUAAUGCUUGGGAACUUGCCUUUGCGAGGGGGAUAACAGUUGGAAACGACUGCUAAUACCGCAUAAUGUCUACGGACCAAACGGGGCUUAGGCUCCGGCGCAGAGAGAGGCCCAAGUGAGAUUAGCUAGUUGGUGGGGUAAAGGCUCACCAAGGCGACGAUCUCUAGCUGUUCUGAGAGGAAGAUCAGCCACACUGGAACUGAGACACGGUCCAGACUCCUACGGGAGGCAGCAGUGGGGAAUAUUGCACAAUGGGGGAAACCCUGAUGCAGCCAUGCCGCGUGUGUGAAGAAGGCCUUCGGGUUGUAAAGCACUUUCAGUUGUGAGGAAAGGUUGGUAGUUAAUACC